Molecule: ribosomal RNA, 253 nt
Filed under: uncultured bacterium
Lineage: Bacteria
Description: partial 16S ribosomal RNA
Rfam family: Bacterial small subunit ribosomal RNA
Source: RNAcentral
UACGAAGGGGGCUAGCGUUGUUCGGAUUUACUGGGCGUAAAGCGCACGUAGGCGGAUUGUUAAGUUAGGGGUGAAAUCCCAGGGCUCAACCCUGGAACUGCCUUUAAUACUGGCAAUCUAGAGUCCGGAAGAGGUGAGUGGAACUCCUAGUGUAGAGGUGGAAUUCGUAGAUAUUAGGAAGAACACCAGUGGCGAAGGCGGCUCACUGGUCCGGUACUGACGCUGAGGUGCGAAAGCGUGGGGAGCAAACAGG